AGGAGAGAGAAAAGAAGGGUAGUAAGCCAUAUAAAAGAAGAGAAAAAAAGAACGAAAGGAGAAGGAGAAAGAAAAAGAAAGGGAGUGGGAGAGAAAAAUCAUGGUGAGAAAAAAGAGAGCGAUAUAAAGGAAAAGAGAGUGCACACUGGUGAGAGAGGAAGAUAGAAGGGGAGGAGAGCGAUAAGAGAGAAGAGAAAGUGCACACGGAC
This 209-nucleotide long non-coding RNA is filed under the name Elaeis guineensis (African oil palm). RNAcentral describes it as "long non-coding RNA (EGUI_LNC013253)". The record is from RNAcentral. Lineage: Eukaryota; Viridiplantae; Streptophyta; Magnoliopsida; Arecales; Arecaceae.